CACCCAGGGCAGAGUCUGCUGGUCUGGGGCCAGCUAAUUUGUCUCCAUGGUUGAAAGGGCAAUCGUGCCUAAGGUUGAGAUCAGAGGAAAGCCUUCUGCUUAUGCAGCCUUGAGCUUGUGCCUGCCUCCGUGUGAAUCUAAGGAGAAAGCGGCUUAUCGUUUCCAAUCUGCAUCAGGGAGGCCACGCCGGGGAGCACUGAGCGCCCGGGCUCCGAGAAGGGCUUCCCGUGGGGAGAUUCGCCGACUGCAGAGCGCUCUAGCGAGCACCCUCCUGCGGAGGCCCCGGCACCCAUCAUUGACUGAGCACCUGCUAUGAGUCGGGCACCCUGUGAGGUACCAGGGACCCAGCAGUGAACAUGACAAAGCUCCCUGGCCCUUGCAGAGAUGACAUUCCAGCAGAGGGCCUGCCUUCCUCCAAGCGGCUACGGAUGCUCCAAAAGGGGGACCCCUGUGCACCCCUCAGGAAAGUAUGCUGAUGGUGCUAAGCCAGACUUGGGAACACCAUUCACCUCACUCAGAUUGGCUUAGGAGCUGGAAACGUGACCAAAUUCUGCCAAUAAGACAAGGAGGUGGUGUGCUGGAGGACCUCAGGAAAAAUGGUCUCAAAGGGGCUGGAGAAGAAGAUGCUUUCUGCACCUCUUCUGCUGGAUGACAUCCCAUCUGGGUGAGAUGCCUAGGUAGGAGGCAGCCAUCUUGCAUCCUAUAUGCAGAAAAUGCCAGAGAAAGAGGAUGGGAAGGCCCUGGGUCCUCUGUGAUGGCCAUCCUUGGGCACUGAAGCUGAGAACUCCAGAGCUGCCCCAUUGCAGGACUUACCCCUAUAUGGAAAUAUAAAUGUCUUCAUUGUUAAACUGUUUGAGUUUGUGCUUUCUAGUACUUUCAGCCAAAAGCAUCUCAAUGGAUACAGAUAUGAAACCCUCUGGCCAGCAGCCAGCAGCCACAAUCAACAGCUUUAUUGAUUGAUUCAUUCUGUGAAUGUUUACUGAGUGUCUUCUAUGUGUCAGGACAGUAGUUCUGGGCACUGG
Molecule: long non-coding RNA, 1022 nt
Organism: Canis lupus familiaris (dog)
Lineage: Eukaryota; Metazoa; Chordata; Mammalia; Carnivora; Canidae
Exons: 3
Source: RefSeq, a predicted model, not a curated record